RNAcentral lists this unclassified non-coding RNA (400 nucleotides) under uncultured bacterium. RNAcentral's name for it is "contains 16S-23S intergenic spacer region". The record is from RNAcentral.
UCCGGUUUGGCACCGGCAGUCCUCCCAGAGUCCUCAGCAUUACCUGGUAGCAACUGGGAGCGGGGGUUGCGCUCGUUGCGGGACUUAACCCGACAUCUCACGACACGAGCUGAUGACAGCCAUGCAGCACCUGUGGCAGGUUCCGGACUGGGUACCGUUGGGCGGCCGUUUCCGGCGCCUACUUCCUGCCGCUUUCGCACAUGUCAAGCCCAGGAUAAGGUUCUUCGCGUAGCCUCGAAUUAAGCCACAUGCUCCACCGCUUGUGUGAGCCCCCGUCAAUUCCUUUGAGUUUCAGCCUUGCGGCCGUACUCCCCAGGCGGGGCACUUAAUGCGUUAGCGCCGGCACCCAGGGGGUCGCUCCCCCAGGCACCUAGUGCCCAUCGUUUACGGCGUGGACUAC